CUUUUUUUUUUUUUUUUUUUUUUUCACAUUUUUCUUCAAAUUUUUUGGGACCUUAUUAAUUUCAAUUUUUGUCAAUUAACAUUCUUGUAAAUUUGUUUUAUUUAUUUUUUAGUGAGAUUUCCUCUAAAAAUAAUUUAAAUAAGAAUGUUUAACAAUUUUUUAAAAAUUAAAAUUUAUUUUUAAAAUAUUAAAAUUUAUAUAUAUAAUAUAUUUAUGGGGAUGAUAACAAAUGAAAUUUGAAAUUUGUGGUGGUUUAGUGUGUCAACGAAAUUAAUCCCAUGUAUAUAUAUUUUGAUACAUAUGAUAUGGCCUUUGUUUAUCCUUUGUUUAUAGCCAACCAAAAAAUAGAAUUAAUUUUGGUGUUUUUUUUAUGCUAUGAGGUAACCGACUUGUCAGCCGAACCAAAGCCUAAACCGUCCAACCAAGGACGCGGCGUGUAUUACAAGUCACGAUCUUAUCAAGAAGAGAAGUCCAACACCUUCUCAUCAAUGGGAUACACGUGUCAGCAGAUCCCUGACCACACAAAGAGGCUGAACUGUAGCCAGCUAAUAACAUCCGUCGAUAUCUAACGUUCCAGCAAAAAGCAAGGCACCGACUCUCCUUCCCUUGGUUGUAUAUUAACCGUCGAUCUUUCCAGGAAUCCUAAAUCUCAACCGCUGAUUGCCUAGGGCUCCUUUAUAUAAUUCUGGUUCCUUCUUAUCUGCAACCCAGGGCUUCCCGUUAUCGCCUCCUUUGUCAAGUCUUUUAAUUUUCGUUUUGCAGAUCUAUAGUCCUUCGGUUGUCUAAUCGGUUUCUGCUUACAUGAUCGAUUAGAUCGCAUAACGAUCUAUGUUUUGAUGGGUGAUUCUUGGUGUUUCUUUCUUCUUUGAUAUCGGGUAGUACCGGCGUCAAGAUUUGAAUCCUCUUGUAUUAACCGGGAUUGCGUUCCUUGUGCGGGUGCAUGGCUUGUUCUAGGGUUCAUAUCACUACCACGACUUGCUUUAUUUCGUGUUGGUUUCGUUGGACGCCGAUGUGUCGGUAUGAAAAGGUCAACUGUUGCAGAGGAUCUGAUCGGAGCUAGAUCUCAUCGCUGAUAAAGGCUUUGAUGUAAUCUAGGGAUGUGAGGUUCUGAUCUUUGUUUCUGAUGUUCUUGGUCAUCAGACCUUUGCCAUGACAGGUGCGCUUGCAUGGCAGGUCGCUAUCAGUAAUAAAAAAAUGAACUAUUUUUUGUUUGAGGGGGGAUCGCACGGGGGUUUGCCCGGGUUCUCCCCUCUGGUGUGCUCCGUGUCCUUCCCUUUCUCUCUCUCUCUCUCUCUUCCUACUCGUCCGUGCCCAUUCGAAAGGAAAUUCGAAUCAUCCAUCCCUGAAGAUCGUUAAAGGUACACAUGUUACAUUCAGUUUACUAUAGAUAAGCCAUAUCCAACAAUAUAUCUCAUUCAACAUGCAGUAGAUCAAAUAAUUUACACGAUGCCUCGAUGCUUUUUCUGUGGUCCCACCCGUUAUGGCUAACGGAAACUGAGGUUUUUAGUUUGGCUAAAAUAAUUUAGUAUUUGGUAUGGACAGUUUGCUUCGGGGAUUUUAUCUGCGUUACGGUUUCCGAAUCACCCUUUCCAAGGUAAACAUUCUAAGAGGGUUUCAAUUCACGUAAUAAGCAAAUUUUCUUAGUAUUAAAAUUUUAUUUAUCAUUUGAACUCAUGAUAUUGCGUCGACACUGAGGUUCUUCGUUUUACGGGAUCUUUUUCUAUUUGAAACCUGAAACAUGGGCAUUUUGCGAUUUCAUUGUUUUGUUUUUAAUUCAUUUCAUAAGACCGUAAGUGAAUGCACCAGUAUAUUUAAAUGUUACAGUAUUGGCUCACAGGAUGAUGUGGUUCUUUCUUUGUACUUGUUAAAUCUAUGGACAUUUCCAUUGAUUUGAUACCUUGUACAGCAUUUUGUAAAGCUUUCCUGUAUCUCCAACCACUUUGUUUGCAGAUUCAUGUUACGAGUUGAGGUUUGAUAUGGAUCUGUUUUCAUUCCUGAAAUUUCUUCUGUUGUAAUACUUUAUUCUUUAUGUUACUUCUAUUAUACUGUUUUAUAUCGAGAAAGUAGUCCCAAGGUAACUUAAACAUGGUUUGGUGAUGAAGAGAUGGAAAAUCCAAGGCAGGUUUCUGAUGGAGUUUGAUGGUGUUGCAGUCAAAGCUUUAAUGUGUGGUAACAGUUUCUGUCAUAAUGUUUAAUGUAGUAAUGCUCUUUGCUCUUUAUUGGUCAAGAUUUCAAUCUGUGUUUCCUUUUCAAGUUACGGGCCGAAAAUAAUUAUAUCAAUUGAGGUGAGAGAUUGCAUAUAAGACGUCAUUUGUGCUCAA
Vitis vinifera (wine grape) is the source of this 2321-nucleotide long non-coding RNA. RefSeq lists it as uncharacterized. The transcript has 2 exons. The record is from RefSeq and is a predicted model, not a curated record. Lineage: Eukaryota; Viridiplantae; Streptophyta; Magnoliopsida; Vitales; Vitaceae.